Molecule: small nucleolar RNA, 133 nt
Organism: Echinops telfairi (small Madagascar hedgehog)
Lineage: Eukaryota; Metazoa; Chordata; Mammalia; Afrosoricida; Tenrecidae
Gene: SNORA70
Rfam family: Small nucleolar RNA SNORA70
About the family: snoRNA U70 seems to be exclusive to mammals and is a member of the H/ACA class of snoRNA which contain H (ANANNA) and ACA box motifs.
Source: Ensembl
CUGCAGCCAAUUAAGCCGGCCGUCCUCCUUGUGGGGGCCGGUGUGCAGUGGCUGCAAACAACAAGCCUGUGUUUGAUAGUGUAUGCAGCCUGUUGGUAUGUAUGGGCUACCCUAAGUGACCCUGGAGACAACC